Long non-coding RNA from Dromaius novaehollandiae (emu), 470 nucleotides. RefSeq lists it as uncharacterized. NCBI's taxonomy places the organism in Eukaryota, Metazoa, Chordata, Aves, Casuariiformes, Dromaiidae. The record is from RefSeq and is a predicted model, not a curated record. The transcript is spliced from 4 exons.
AAAGAGACAUCCCUAUUUCUUCCCAACAGGUGCCUUUACAAAUCUCUUUCAGCUGCAUGCUGUGACAUUCCCUAGCUACUGGAAAAGAUUUGCCUUUGUAAUAUCAUGGUGCCCCUGUUCUUCAGACUCAUUUCAGCUUUGUGUUUGGAAAUCACCUAGCACAGUUAAAGGGAUGUGACAUUAUGAAUAAUAAAUUCUGUAGAUAUGAAAGGAGCCUCCCGCUCCAAGACAACAGAAAUAUCAAUACAGUGUAUUAUCUGCCUUGAUCAACAAAAAACAGCCCUUCAGUGGGACAAGCAUGGCUGUGGAAGGAAGAUACAAUUCCGUCUUGAGCUCCCAAUUAAGUCUUUAAGGAGAAAGUUUGAAAGCACAGGGGAUGCUGUACAUACUCUUUUCAAUGAGCUCUACUAACCUGUUCUUUCCUGCCCAUUGCUGAUUCUGCCCUGGGUGCCUGCUGGGAGCAGCCACGU